AUACUGGAGCUGAUAAAACAUUAAAGUAAUUAUUCCAAAUCAGUGCUGACUGCAAAAGCAAUAUUUCCAAAGCUCUAGCUUAUUUUCUGCGGUCUUUUAAUUCCCUUGAAAUAGCUUUCUUCAAGUUGAGCAGCAAUUUGGGACAAACAUUAUUCUAUUGCACAGAUUAUGGCAUCUUACUCUGGUUUACACACACAGAGCAAGGGCUUACACACCUGAAUUAAGAAUUAACUAGCAUGUGGGGACAGCAAUAGGGAUAGUCCUACCACAGACGAAACCAUGCGCUCUACACGUCCCUGGAUAAAAUGUGACAAGUUAGCCCUUGAAUUUGGGUCCCCAUGUCACCAAAUAGCUCUAUAUUUAAGUUGUGUUAAUGUGGUACGUUUCAGUGGCAUAAUGACCCAUUCUUAUCGAGGCCUUUGUUCCAUAUUUUAUUUGUGCCAAUCUUUCUUAGGUUAUGAGCCCUAAUAGUUUAUGGCAGCAGACAAGAGACUCAUUUCUAACCCAUUAAAUUCAAAUGGACUUUCUUCCACUGUCCAUUUCAUUUUUGGAGCUGUUAUAAACUACCGAAAACAUUUGACAGGAUCCCAUUGUGGAUCUGAUACACUUAAACAGUAAAAUGAUAUCUAAACAUCUGAAAGCCAAAGAAUAACCUAGUGCACGUGUUCAUUCAUUUGUAGAAUUUAAGCCAUUGUAUUAUAUUUUCCACUUGGAACCAUGCCUUUAGAUACAAAAGUGUAAAGUAAAAAGCAACAUUAUCAUGGGAUGUGAGACGGUAAUCCAAAAGUUGAAGACCAAUUUUUGUUAUCCAUAUUUUGGAAGUAUGGAUACUGUUUAUUUUAAUAUCACUUCUCUCAUGGGUCACUUUUCCUUAGAUAGGUAGGUAGGUAGAUAGAUAGAUAGAUAGAUGAUAGAUAGAUAGAUAGAUAGAUAGAUAGAUAGAUAGAUAGAUAAUAUAAUAUAUUUUCUUCUUUCUUAACCUAUGAGCAGAGACUUUGAUGAUGGAAAUUACUUUGUAACAUUCCCCAUGGAGCCUAGGAAAAACAAUAGAAAAAAAGCAUGAAAUCUUUUUCUCAUAGUGAAAUAGAGAAGAUUCUAAGAUUGGAAAUCUGUGUAUGUGGUGUUCUAUCCCAAAUAAAGAGAAUUUAGGGAAUUCAGGCAACAAUUUUUUUCCUAAUUGGAAACUUUGUUCUGAUCCUGAGAUGCCCACACACCCCACAGGAGACGCAGUGCUGGCCCACCACAGUGUUUGGAACACGGUCAGCAUUCAGGAAACACAUUCAAAAUCGUCUAACUGAAUUCCACUAUCCACUUGUGAAUGCAAACAAAAUUCAAAUUUCCCUGAAAAUUUAUUCAACUUCUAUAUGCCAAGCACACUGCUAAAGGCUUAUCUUCUAAGUAUAUGCAGGCAUACCCUACUCACACAAAUAGCUUAUUACCAGAGAUAGGAAAUUGCAGGUAAUUUGGGAGAAAUUGUCAUAGCCAAAUUUAUGGAAAAAAUAAAAUAAAAACUUCUCUAUGGCCUCUUGAUUUAAGAAAAAAACAGAACAAUACAAAAAAAAAAAAGCACUAAAACAGGAUUUAUCUGAGAAUGUCUUUCCAAAAGGGAAGAUGACACCAAUCUAUAUAAAACGUCAGUGGAUUUACUGAGAAUCCGAGUGGAAACUUUUAAAACCUUAAACAGACUCUCCUACAGCAAAUAGAUUCUCUAUGUGCAGCAUGAGGAAUCACUGCAUAGUUCUGCUCCACCAAUAAUAUGAUUGGUACAGCACCAAACCAUGGCAAAGUUAGAUGUUAAAGAACAUAAUGUUGCAAUAAUGAUGUUAUAUUGGAUCUUAUGCAUGAACAAAUGGAAAGUAAUAAUUUAUCAACUGUGAUCCAUGAUUAAAGGCCUCAUUAUCACUAAGAAAAUGAACUUAAUGAAAAAAAUUAUAAUGAGCAAUGACAAUAUUCCUAUAAAACCUCCCUCUGGGUAUCAAGAGACAUAUUACCUGCCAAGGCCAGAUUUUACUUUUUAAGGUUUCCUCUCUCUCACCAAAGACACUAGUGGGCACAGAGGUGACACUAGAGUUAGAAUGUUACCAGAGUCAUUUGCAUUAGACAGUUUAUCUGAUCAUGAACAUGUUCCCAGGGAGAUUAGAAAAAUGGGAAGCAGGCCUCUAAAGAUCCUCCUUGGACAUUUGUAAAAAGGCUGGCUGCUUCUCCAGGAAUGUCUGAAUUAAGCAAGAAUUGUGCCACUGAAAUAGCUUCUUGUUUUUAUAUUAAACAAGGAACGAUUGUGCAGUGGAUGACCUGGACUGAAAGAUGUAUGAUGGUCAAGUUUAAACAUAUUAAUUCCUGAUUGUUUUCUUAAAUACCCACCCUAGUCAUUUUUUGGAAAAUAUUGCCAGACAUAUUUGACAUGAAUUCAUGUUUAUUCUGGCUUCUGUUCCCAAGCAGAAGUGGAUUAACCCUGGCAAUGGCUGGCUUCACUAACUGUACUUGCACCCAGCCUGGGCUGCCAUCUGCUCAGCCAGGAGAAGCAGGGAGUGGGGUGUGGGCCCUUUAAGUUCGCUCAGGGCACACUCAUUCAGUCUCCCCUGAGGAGACCUUGUCCCCCUUUGUGGGGUGAAUGCUGGCUGUUGCAGGCCAGAGGCAGUGCCAACUGGAGACUCAUCCUCUCAGCUUUGGUCAGCUUCAGCCACGUAUUCUUCAUGAGUGCUGGCUUCUGAACCUGCAGGAUCAUUUCUCAGUCAGUUUAUGGUGCAGGGUAAUUCAUUUAAAAUAAAGCCCAUUAAAACCCCAUGGCUAUAGAAUGGGUUUUAAAUAGAUUGUCCUGGAGACACAUCAUUGUAUAGUCUUUGCUUCCCUCUCAUGACCUAUCUUGGAGUAGAAUUUGUGUACUACUGUCCUUGUCUUUGAGUGGGUAUAUGUGUGAUGGUACAGAAAUACAGUCACAUAUUAUAUUAAUAUAUAUAGAUGGAUAGGAAAAACCUACAGCCAUAGGUAUUGUCCAAUAACUGAUUCUAGAGGUAGAACUAUAGAGUAUACAUUUCCUUUUUUCUUGCUUUGAUGAUAUUUUUAUACAAUUUUAUAUGCUAUAAAAUUUUCAAAAAUAUAUUUGCUAUUUUCAUUUGUAGAGCUUGGUUAGGUUUUUAUCAGCUCUUGUGCCCACUGUACAACCAGAUUCCCCUCAUCUAAUUUAAAUGUCUUCCCUUUUUCAAACUCUCCUUUAUGUUUUCCUUUUUUUUUCCUCCCAUUUUUCUACCCUUCACAAAUUCCUUCUUUUGCUUCUGUCCAGGUAACCCAUUCUGCUUGCAGUAUCAUUUUAGCACGUACAAACACAAAAUAAUGGGAAAAAUAAAAGCACCUUGUUCCAUGCAAUUCGUAUGGGAAAGUUUUGGGUGUCAAAGGUCGCUGGGGAUAGAUGGGGAGGCAGAAAUAGCUUGGGAAAAGGAAGCAGGAAAAAAGGAAAUCUUUAUGGGAAAUCAAUUACCCAAAGCAAGGUGAGUCACCUAGAGGUGAAUAUGAUGUUGUUAUUGUCCUCCCUUAGUGUACAGCACAGUUUUUGCUCUCACAGGGUUUUUCUCUUUAGGAUGCGUAGCACCCUAUGCAUUAAAUACAUAGCAUCCUAAAGACACCCUACUCACCUUGAGUCUGUAGGCUCUUUCCUGAUGAGGGCACUGGCCAUAUAUGAAUGGAAAACUCAACUCAUCUCCUCAGCUUUAGAUGUUGCUGCUGUUCAGCUGGAUUUGUGAGAAAUAUCUGGAUUACUAUCAAGAACAUUUAGCAAGACUCAAAAGAGAGAGGCAAGCAGAACCAAAACCCAAACCUCAACCAAUGACUAGCUGAAUAAACAAUUCUUUGGAGGAAUAAGGAAGGUAUUUCUGGAUGUAUUCUGAGAAUGCUCUUCCAAAAGGGAAGAUGGUAAUAAUGGACUUGUUUUGAUUUCAUGGUUGUGAUAGAAUGUACUUCCAUGAUGUGAAAUACACUUCUGGCAGAUAAAAUGCAGGUUGUAAUUUGCAUUUGUACAUCACAGGGUAAAAGAAUGGCCAUCCAUUCUGAGGAAGAGUGUUCUGUUCUCUAAGAUGCUGCUUAACCAAUGUUAUCCAAAUGCCAUAGCAUCAUAUCUCCAAAUACAAGAUUAAAUCAUAAGGAUUCAUGUAAAACAGAGUAUACUGAGCUGUUCUCAGAAAAAUUAAUGAUGUGUUUAUUGUAAAUCUUUAUUGCACAGAUGAGCCUGACAGUCCUUCAAUGUAUAAUUUUCCCCCAGCAUCUAGUAAUGCAUAAGUACUUGUAUGUUCUUCUGAUUACCAAAUAAAAACAAUGAGUUAACCUCUU
RNAcentral lists this long non-coding RNA (4320 nucleotides) under Homo sapiens (human). Its description in RNAcentral is "non-protein coding lnc-NEUROD6-7:2". Lineage: Eukaryota; Metazoa; Chordata; Mammalia; Primates; Hominidae. The record is from RNAcentral.